Molecule: long non-coding RNA, 3076 nt
Filed under: Homo sapiens (human)
Lineage: Eukaryota; Metazoa; Chordata; Mammalia; Primates; Hominidae
Description: non-protein coding lnc-BPGM-2:1
Source: RNAcentral
UUCAAGGCUACAUUCAUUUCUCUUACCUGUGUCUGUAGCGAUAGAUGGUAUUUUCUUUUCUUUUUUUUUUUUAGAUGGAGUCUCGCUCUGUGGCCCAGGCAGAAGUGCAGUGGCAUGAUCUCAGCUCACUGCAACCUCCACCUCCCAGGUUCAAGCUAUUCUCCUGCCUCAGCCUCCUGAAUAAUUCGGAUUAUAGGUGAAUGCCACCAUGCCCGGCUAAUUUUUUUUUCUUUUCUUUUUUUUUUUUUUUUUUUUUUUUUGUAUUUUUGAUAGAGGCAGGGUUUCACCAUGUUGGCCAGGCUGGUCUUAAACUCCUGACCUUGCGAUCAAUCCACCUCAGCCUCCCAAAGUGCUGGGAUUACAGGAAUGAGCCACCACACCCAGCUGAUAGAUGGUAUUUUCUAAGCAACAAAUGAGGGUAUUUGAGCCGAAAAAAACGUGCCUCUCUUCCAAGAAAGAAUGGAUAGACAAUUUCAAAAAUUAGCCAGUAUUGGGAAAUCAGCAGAGUAGUUACUGUGCUCCAAUCCCACCUCUUUCUGUAAAUGACACAUGGAGGGUAUAACACAAGGAUUUAGUCUGGGGGUGGGGCCAGGCAAGGAAGUCUAUACUGCUAGUUGGGAGGAAUCUUCACAUUGACUAAUUCUCCAUGGUCACAGAGUUCCUUUCAUACCGCUCCCUCUAAUUUCCAUUAUCAGAGUCUUUAAACCUAUGUCAAUGUAUUUCUUUUAAAAUGUGAUCCAAGAAAGGGCCACUUUAGAAGAAUGAGCUCAAAGACUGUGCUUUCCCUGCUCCUCUGACCCCACCAGGUUUCCAGCACUUCAUCUCCAGUAUCUUCAGUCUCUCCACUGUUUCUUCCAGGCCAGUUUCCAGUGGAAAGACUGCAUCUAAUGUCCUUGAGUUCUUCUUCUGUUGCUGGUUGAGAUAUGCCGUUGCCCCAGGCAGCAAUGGCAGCAGUUCAGGAUUCCCAACCUCUUUCAAAACAGGAAGCCCCACCCCUUAAGCAACCACCUUCUAGUGUAGUACAUGCUAGACCGUGCUACCUGGGAGGAGUGGAAAUAGCAUCCUCUACAGCGGCCUUUGCUCUCAGAGCACAUCAGGGCUUUGGCUCUGUGUUUCUAUUCUGUCUUUGGUCCACGGAAAUGUUUAUACUGUUUUCGAACCCUAGAAUAUAUUUUGGGCAUUUUCUUUUUAUGUUAUUUAAUACUGCUGGAUGUUUACAGUGGAAACCUACUAUGCAAUUCUGACUGGAAAUUCUGUGCAUAUUUAAACAUUGCUCAGAAUUCACCUCUUCCAUCAAAUAUCUAAACUUAUUACAACCCUGCACUUACGCUCUCCCUUUCCACCCCAAAAUACUCUGUGAGCCCUUACUCAUUCUACUUGCACUUGUAUUUGUUGGACUGUAACAAACACUUGAGUUAGUCUUUCCCCUACUGGACCUUGAGGACAAGGAGGAUGUUUAAUUUAUUUAUAUAUCUCUUGUACUUGGCACAGUGACUUGUUUAUAGUAGGCACGAAAAAUACUAAUUCAUUUCCUUCAAAAUUCCUAACACAAGUUCUUGAACAUUAGGAGGAAUUCAAUGAAUAAUUGGUUACUUAUUGAUUUGCUAGUUGAGACCAGAACCUGUACACUUCUGAAGACUUUACUUAUUCUUCUUCUUUAUCCUUUUUUUUUCUCCUUUUUCUCCCAUUUUUAGAGAGGGCAGAGAUGCAGCAAAGCAUAAGGAAAUAGAUGAGUUUAGGAGAAGAGAAUAUGCUAUAGUUACCUUUUUUCAGAAGAAAAGAAAUGAAAGCAUUUUCCAUAAUAUUUUGUUAGAGGUUGGUCUAUUCUUGUUUUACUGAAUAUAGCUGGGUUUGGAGCUGAGAACACAGGUCCUUUCCUGCUGUGCAUAAAAACAAUUAUCUACAGAAGGGAAACUCUAGCAAUAUAUCAAUGCCAGGCCUUUAUACACUUGUUGGUAUUCUGAUGGUGAAGACAUGUAUGUCAUUUGGCACUGCAGUUCCUUCUUUGUUUCGGCUGUGAUAGUGAUCCAGGAUCCUAGCAAUCUAAACAUCAUCUUACUUCGAAUUACCAAGCUUUGAAGCCUUUGCCAUUACUCACUUUAUAAGUCGUAACUUAGUAAAGAGAACAUCAUAUGAGAGUGAUUUUUCUUCCCUAUCUGAUUUUUACAUCUUCUGGUUGCAAACAGCAAUUUACCUAUUCCUCUUAUCUGAUACCUCACAGAGUGACAACAUCAGAAACUAGUUAGGACACUCACCUGGCAGAGACUGGAAUUUAGUGGUUGGUACUGACUGAUGAUAUAAACAAUUAAUUAUUUACUCUCUUCAUUCCUUAUUUCAAAAGUUACUAAUAAAUGAAGCCAGUCAAGCUAUUUCUUACAUUUUAUUAUUUUUAAAUUUUAUAUUUUUAUUUUAAUUUUAUAUUUUUAAAUUUUAUUAUAAAAAUAAAUUUUAUUAAAUUUAUUUUAUAAGGAUUUUAUUUUAUAAGGAUUCUGUGAGUACUUAAAUGAGAAACAUAAAGAACUUUGUCUCACUCAUGUUGGAAUCAUAGCUCUUUAGGAAAAAAGUAGCAUCUCUCUAGACAUAAAAUAACAACUAUAAGUUGCUAUAGAAACAACAGCUCUCAAAGCCAGUAGAGAACAUUUUUAAAAAGGGUGCCCCUUAGAAUCUCAGGUAGCCUCCAAAAUGCUUACACCCAAAGAAAAAGUAUUUUACAUAGACGGGCUUAGUUUAGAGGUUUAAGAUGAUUUCAUCUUUAAAUAGAUAGCCUUUACUCUCCGUUGUGAUUUUUAUACUGUUUUAGAUUUCUUAAAAAGUUUUCCCCUCUCUAUUUUUCAGACCCAUUAGGCUUCAUGUCAUCUCAGCUGACUAGCAUCUGUGGCCUGGCACUUGUUUUGACUAAGUAAUCAUAUGCCUUUCUCUACCUAGUGCAGCCCCUGGAACCUUAUCUGCUAGGACCAGCCUUUCACUGCCCUAGGAAGGCCUCCCAGUUGCGUGUUACAUCUGUUUUUCUCUGGAAGAAAACAAGAGAAAACAAUUAAGAAGGUUGAUUUUACCCUAUACAUAAGAAACUUCAAUU